Molecule: ribosomal RNA, 304 nt
Filed under: uncultured bacterium
Lineage: Bacteria
Description: partial 16S ribosomal RNA
Rfam family: Bacterial small subunit ribosomal RNA
Source: RNAcentral
CAGCAGCCGCCACGGUAAUACGAAGGGUGCAAGCGUUAAUCGGAAUUACUGGGCGUAAAGCGUGCGUAGGCGGUUUGUUAAGUCUGUUGUGAAAUCCCCGGGCUCAACCUGGGAAUGGCAAUGGAUACUGGCAAGCUAGAGUGUGUCAGAGGAUGGUGGAAUUCCCGGUGUAGCGGUGAAAUGCGUAGAGAUCGGGAGGAACAUCAGUGGCGAAGGCGGCCAUCUGGGACAACACUGACGCUGAGGCACGAAAGCGUGGGGAGCAAACAGGAUUAGAUACCCCCGUAGUCCCUGUCUCUUAUAA